UGGGGAAUAUUGCACAAUGGGCGAAAGCCUGAUGCAGCAACGCCGCGUGGGGGAUGACGGCCUUCGGGUUGUAAACCCCUUUCAGCUCCGACGAAGCGAAAGUGACGGUAGGAGCAGAAGAAGCACCGGCCAACUACGUGCCAGCAGCCGCGGUAAUACGUAGGGUGCAAGCGUUGUCCGGAAUUACUGGGCGUAAAGAGCUCGUAGGCGGCUUGUCGCGUCGGCUGUGAAAUCCCGGGGCUCAACCCCGGGCCUGCAGCCGAUACGGGCAAGCUAGAAUUCGGUAGGGGAGACUGGAAUUCCUGGUGUAGCGGUGAAAUGCGCAGAUAUCAGGAGGAACACCGGUGGCGAAGGCGGGUCUCUGGGCCGAUAUUGACGCUGAGGAGCGAAAGCGUGGGGAGCGAACAGG
This 409-nucleotide ribosomal RNA is filed under the name uncultured prokaryote. RNAcentral describes it as "bacterial SSU rRNA". It matches the Rfam family "Bacterial small subunit ribosomal RNA", at positions 355 to 776 of the family's 1533-position model. The record is from RNAcentral. RNAcentral also lists the same sequence under 1 other name.